RNAcentral lists this ribosomal RNA (1457 nucleotides) under metagenome. RNAcentral's name for it is "bacterial LSU rRNA". It matches the Rfam family "Bacterial large subunit ribosomal RNA", at positions 1462 to 2925 of the family's 2925-position model. The record is from RNAcentral.
UGAAGGAGGGACGCAGUAGGCUAACUAAAGCGUGCGACUGGAAGUGCACGUCUAAGCAGUGAGGUGUGAAUUGAGUUAAAUGCUUAAUUCUGUAACAUUGAGCUGUGAUGGGGAGCGAAGUUUAGUAGCGAAGUUAGUGACGUCACACUGCCAAGAAAAGCUUCUAGCGUUAAUCAUACUCUACCCGUACCGCAAACCGACACAGGUAGUCGAGGCGAGUAGCCUCAGGUGAGCGAGAGAACUCUCGUUAAGGAACUCGGCAAAAUGACCCCGUAACUUCGGGAGAAGGGGUGCUGGCUUUGAGUCAGCCGCAGUGAAUAGGCCCAAGCAACUGUUUAUCAAAAACACAGCUCUCUGCUAAAUCGUAAGAUGAUGUAUAGGGGGUGACGCCUGCCCGGUGCUGGAAGGUUAAGAGGAAUGCUUAGCGUAAGCGAAGGUAUGAAUUGAAGCCCCAGUAAACGGCGGCCGUAACAAUAACGGUCCUAAGGUAGCGAAAUUCCUUGUCGGGUAAGUUCCGACCCGCACGAAAGGCGUAAUGAUUUGGGCACUGUCUCAACGAGAGACUCGGUGAAAUUUUAGUACCUGUGAAGAUGCAGGUUACCCGCGACAGGACGGAAAGACCCCAUGGAGCUUUACUGCAGUUUGAUAUUGAGUGUCUGUGCCACAUGUACAGGAUAGGUAGGAGCCAUAGAGAUCGGGACGCCAGUUUCGAUGGAGGCGUUGUUGGGAUACUACCCUUGUGUUAUGGCCACUCUAACCCGGUAGGUUUAUCAUCUACGGAGACAGUGUCUGACGGGCAGUUUGACUGGGGCGGUCGCCUCCUAAAAGGUAACGGAGGCACCCAAAGGUUCCCUCAGAAUGGUUGGAAAUCAUUCGUAGAGUGUAAAGGUAUAAGGGAGCUUGACUGCGAGAGCUACAACUCGAGCAGGGACGAAAGUCGGGCUUAGUGAUCCGGUGGUUCCGUAUGGAAGGGCCAUCGCUCAACGGAUAAAAGCUACCCUGGGGAUAACAGGCUUAUCUCCCCCAAGAGUUCACAUCGACGGGGAGGUUUGGCACCUCGAUGUCGGCUCGUCGCAUCCUGGGGCUGUAGUCGGUCCCAAGGGUUGGGCUGUUCGCCCAUUAAAGCGGCACGCGAGCUGGGUUCAGAACGUCGUGAGACAGUUCGGUCCCUAUCCGUCGCGGGCGUAGGAAAUUUGAGAGGAUCUGCUCCUAGUACGAGAGGACCAGAGUGGACUUACCGCUGGUGUACCAGUUGUCUCGCCAGAGGCAUCGCUGGGUAGCUAUGUAGGGAAGGGAUAAACGCUGAAAGCAUCUAAGUGUGAAACCCACCUCAAGAUGAGAUUUCCCAUAACUAUAUGUUAGUAAGAGCCCUGAGAGAAGAUCAGGUAGAUAGGUUAGGAGUGGAAGUUGUGUGAGCAAUGGAGCGGACUAAUACUAAUAGCUCGAGGACUUAUCCG